AGAGUUUGAUCCUGGCUCAGGACGAACGCUGGCGGCGUGCUUAACACAUGCAAGUCGAACGAGAAUCUGCGGAACGAGGAUUCGUCCAAGUGAAGCAGAGGACAGUGGCGGACGGGUGAGUAACGCGUGAGGAACCUGCCUUUCAGAGGGGGACAACAGUUGGAAACGACUGCUAAUACCGCAUGACACAUAGAUGUCGCAUGGCAUUUAUGUACAAGUAUUUACGUCGUCGUAAGGAAAGUAGUCCGG
RNAcentral lists this ribosomal RNA (249 nucleotides) under uncultured bacterium. RNAcentral's name for it is "partial 16S ribosomal RNA". It matches the Rfam family "Bacterial small subunit ribosomal RNA", at positions 8 to 233 of the family's 1533-position model. The record is from RNAcentral.